Molecule: non-coding RNA, 5335 nt
Organism: Podarcis lilfordi (Lilford's wall lizard)
Lineage: Eukaryota; Metazoa; Chordata; Lepidosauria; Squamata; Lacertidae
Source: the annotation of a GenBank genome assembly
GUAUUAAGUUAUUUGGCAGUUGAGAUUACAAGAAUAUUGACUUUCCCUGUCUGGGAUGGGGCUUACUUUGGUUUCCUCUUGUGUAGGCAGAGAGCUAAGGGGAAGGAUUGGCUGGGAGUCAUGGCAGUCCCAGAUUCCCCCACUCGGUGAGCUGUGCUGAUUGACUAGCCUGCCGUAGGCUGCUUUGCUUCUGAAGGAUUCUGAAGGGGUUUGGCUGAGCCCGCCUGGGAUGUGGAGAGGGUAAAAUUCUGCCCACCUUCUGCUCUCCGCAGGUACAAUAUAUUGUGCCACUCUGAUAGGGCAGCAGGGAGAGCCUUCCAGAGGAGCAGCCAGCUGGCAUUGCCCAUCUGAGCUUCUUGGACUUUGCCUAGCAGUGGAGGCUUAGUGCGGAAUGCCCAGCAGGUGGCAGUGCUGCUCUGUGGCUGCAGAGGACUGUGCUGGUUGGGGGAAAGCCAGCCAGAGCAGAAAGGGAGCUGCUGGAGUGCUCCUAACCACUCAGCCAGAGGUUGCUUGCCUUGACUCCCAUCUGAGAUACCAAAGAACUGAGCCAAUGUUAUUUGAAGUUGAUGCUGAUGCUGCUUUCAGCAUGCAGACCCCUGUGGUGUGGCUCAGGUCUUUGUCUCCAGCAAGAUCAAUUGGGGUUUCUGUUUACUUUUGUUCUUAAUGUGUGUAGCUGAACUGCAUUCUUCGAGGUGGACCUUUGCAAAUGGGUUUCUGCUGCCAGGAGAGGGAAGCCCAGCUGGGACACCCUCAUCAUAGGCUGCAGACUCUCACCUCGAUGAGUGCCCCUCUGGUCCCCCCCCCCAUGUUCUCCAACCAUAUGAGGAGGCAAAAGAGUGAGGGGCAUCCUGUAUUCUUUCAAGGUGGGCCCUUGCUGGUUUCCUCUGGGCACCUGAUGGUUGUAUGUUAGGUGGUAGGCUUUGGUGAUCCAGGCUGAUGAUCCUGCAGAGCCCUGUUUACUUGGUAUGAUACACACCAUUAGAAUCUCCUGCAUUCUCCACACCAGUAUUAUAUAAGGCAGAAGGAGAAAGGAGGGAUCUGAAAUGCAUUUUGGGGCAGACAUCCCAGCUGCCUCUGUCCUGGAAGUGUGCCUGCCCACUUGUGGCAGGUGUUCAAUCCCACCUACAGCAAGAAAGCUGUAGCUCAGCAACCCAGGAUUAGGUGCAGGGAGGUUUGCUUCCUAGACAAGGCAUGCAAAGUCUUUGCUAAGGUCGGUCCCUCCUUUCCUCUUUCGGCCCUCAAUCUUGCAGAGAGUCGCCCUGCUCAUCUCACACCUGGGGCAGUAUUUUUUCCUGCAACCUCAUCCAAUCCCUACAGGGUUUUGUGAGGGUGAAAGGCUGCAGAGGAGCAUGAGAAGAGCCUGGAGGCUGGAUCUAACCAAAGGCUGCCCAUCUAGUCUUGCACUCUUAUUUCGCAAGGCCCAAAUGAGCCCAAAAGCAGGACCUGAGUGCAAGAGCACUUCCCUGCCCCGUCUGAUCCCCCCAAUAAUUGGAAUUCAGAAACAUGCUCCCAUCUCUGAGCCUGGAGAUGAUGCAGCCAGUGUGAGCAGUAGCAUUUGGUAACGUCUUCCUCCCUGAGUAGGCAUUCUAAGAGCCAUUUGUAGGAAGGUGAUUCUCAUGCCCCUAUCUCUAGCAGGUCAGCAUGGAGCUUUCGGAGCCAAGGGGUCGCUGGAGGCUUGUUGCCAGGUUCUCCUUACCUCGUCAAAAGAGGUGCUCAGCCCCCCCCACCAACCCAAUUUCUUUGGACUUGGGGUCAUCUUGGCCAGCUCUGGCAUAAUUCAUGCUUGGAAUGUGGAAAAGGCUUCCAUAAGGUCCUCCAGACCCUUCCUGCUGCAGAUAGAAGCCCAGAAAAGUGCCUAGAUUGGCAACCAGGGCUGCUGUACAGAUCUCUCUUCUCUUCCAGUGUCCCUGGGACAAUGCUCUGAGUGCUGAGGCACCCAUACCUGCAGCUCUUUUGCUGCAGGACUUUCCUGUAUUUCUCAACCCUGGUGAAGUCUGGAGUGGGAAGCAUGGGGUGGGGUCUCUGAGCCCCCAGCGCCUGCCUGGAGGGAUCUGUGGGGGAGAGAAGCAGCUGGGGAUAAUUAUAGUAACAGGAACUGAACAGGCAGGUUUCUGGGAGCUGGAAGCUCCUUCCUCCCUCCCCGUCUCCCUGCUGGGUGAUGGUGCAGCUGGGCUCCAGGUGACUCAGUGUGUGGCAAAGGGUGGUGGAGCCCUCUUGGGAAAUAACCUACUUGCUUGUGCCACAGCCGGGCAGAGAGCCAGCUGCCCGCUUGCUGCCCUGAGCCCGGGCUGCUUGGGGGCCACUUGCCUGGGCUUCUGGGUGGCUGAUCGGGGGAAACCAAGAGUGUUUGCCUAUCCUUGCUCUCUGAAUUUGGCCUCCCUCAGAGGUGUGUGAAGAUAGGUAUGUUUGUGGAGAAGAGAGCCCUGCAGGCUUCUUUUUAAAUCCUCUCUGCAAGCCUGCAGAUUGAUCAAGAGUUUGUCCCAGAGCAGCAGCAGCCUUCUCUCUGUCAGAUAGGAGGCAACUGAGCACCUUGGCUGCAAUCCCACUGGGCUAAUUCAAGCUGAAGCUUUUCUGCCUGCCUGCACCCUGCAUAGAGUAGGGAGCUGUCCUAGACCACCAUGCAAGCCCAUCUCACUCAGCCUUGCUUUCACUGGGACCGGCUGCGAAUCUCCAUGGUUUCAGGCAAUGUCUUGCUGAAAGGAAGGGGAGAGGUCAGGGUUUGAACUUGGGACUUUUUGCAUGUAGUUUGAUAUAUUCCAGAGUGGCUUCUGACAAAGAGCAACCCAAUUGCACUUUCGUAUCCAUUGCCACUGCUAGGAGCAGCUAGCCUGCGUCUUGGGCACAGCUGUCAACAUGAGGCUUCCCGCGGUUUGAACAUGGGCUGUCACUCCUUCACAGGAAGUCAUGGCAUUGGCAUGGUUGGAGCUUCACGCUGGGUCCUUGGCAAGGGGCCUUUGGUGCCUCGUUGUGCUUGAGGAGUCCUCAGAGAAGGAGGUGGUUCAAGGUAGCCUCUGCUUCUAUCCCAGGCAGGUCAGGGCAGUUAAUAACAGCUGCCACAGUGUGCCAGGAACGUAUUGACAAGUCUUCCCUUGAACCAUUGCUGCAGCGCCUUCCAGCCCCAGCUGCUUUGAAAGCCAGUCCCUGGCACAGAGCAGGAGGAGAACAUAAGAGCCUGCUGAAUCAGGCCAGUGGCCCAUCUAGGCCAGCAUCCUGUUCUCACGGUUCUUAACCAGAUGCCCCAAAGGGAAACCAGCAAACAGGACUCUGAGCACAAGGGCAGUUUUUCCCCUCCUGAGGUGUCCAGCAGCUGGUAUUCAGAAGCAUUGCUGCCUCUCCUAACUGUGGAGGCAGAGCAUAGCCAUGGCAGCUAGUAGUCAUUGAUAACAUCCUCCAUGAAAUUGUCUAGUAGUCAUUGAUAACCUCCUCCAUGAAUUUGUCUAUAACCUUUUAAAGCCAUUCAGGUUGGUGGCGAUCACUGUCUCCUGUGGGAGCGAGUUCCAUAGUUUAACUUGUGUGCUGCGUGAAGAAGCAUGGGUCAGCCAAAUCCAGCCUGGGGGCUUCUGUGGAGUUUCAGGGCAGAAUUACUGAGCAGCCCAAAGAAGUGGCAUGGGGAAAUAAUUUUGCUGGUGGAGAGGACCAAGCAGUCAAACCAGUCGCACACACACCUGCACUUGAAAGCCCCAUGGAUGGGCUGCCCUGGACACCCUGCCAGGAGCCCCAGCCCCCAGUCAACCCUCUCCGCUGCUCUUCUGGGAGGGGCGAGCAGUUUCCUCAUGCAUUGUCAUGAGCUGGGGGCAGGGGGACAGGCAGGCUUUCUUCUUAGUCAGAGCUGGAGCCGAGGUCUGUUUUGGCUGCUCAUCAGCAUCAGGGAACUGUGUCCCUGCGAGGUUUGAUACAAUUUAAUUAACCUAAUUAAAAGCUCUGAUUGCAGAGAUGAUUGGGGUAGAGCCAGCAGCAACUGCAUAUUUAUAAUGAGCUGGAAGGUGUGGGACCUCCGCCAAGCGAUAUGCAUCUCUAAUGAGCUGCUGCUGGUGCGAUCUGAGCGCGCCUUUGGAACGUGAACAUUUAUUUUUGGCAACGGCGGGCAGUUUAUCGCCAAGACGCGGAGGGAGGGAGCCUCCUUCCUUCCCAGCUCCAGGCGUGGCUCUCCCACUCCCAGCCCCCUUGACAGACACAGACGCAGCCUUGCCAAGGUGCAAAGGCAGGCAGGCAGGCAGGCAAGCAAACAAACACCCACCCUGCGUGCAAACCUGAGCCCAGAGAGAGAAUCAGAGAGAUGCACCCAGGCUCCUUCCCUCUCAGUCAUUCAUAAAACCCAGCACAUACUCCAUGCUCCUGGCCUCAUGCAGCCCACCCUCUGAGCCCUGCUGGUACAUGCAGUGUCUACACCCAUCCACCCCAGCUGCCCAAAUAUCUCCCUACUGUCUAAGUAGCCUCUCCAUGCCCUUUUGGGGGAGCUCCCGCAAGGCCUGGCUCUUUCUCCAGCCUCUGACUGAAAGAGACUCUCAGUCCACCGAGACCAGGAUAGGCUUUGGAGAGCCACUGUGGUGUAGUGUUAGACUAGGAUCUGGGAGACCAGGGUUCAAAUCCCCACCUGAGUCGUGAAACUCACUUGGGUGACCUUGGUGGCCAGUCAGUGCCUCUCAGCCUAACCUACCUCACAGGGUUGUUGUAGUAAUUAGGUGAGAAGGAGGACCAAAGGGAAUCCUGCCUGCCCCACUACCUGAGUGAGUUUUAACCUUCUUCCAUGCAUAGCUGGAGCACCUUCCCACCAGUUUGGACCCAGAGCGGUGGCUGAUCCAUGCCAGGCUGUUGCUGGGAGGCAAGGGGACAAGAUGGUCAGUGAAGGAACACCCACACACCCCUCCUUCCAAACUGCAUUAGUUCCUCUGCACAGCAAGGAAGCUUCCUCAGAGACCCCACUGUGAGAUCUAGUUUAUCUGCAGUGGACAGGACAGGCCUGGCCUGGUCACAGGGGAGAAGGUCAGAAGAUAAAAUGAGGCAGAGGUGUGUAAAGGUGUGGGAGUCAAGCAGGGAGGUGGAGAGCUGUUUUGAUGUUGACCACUAUUUGUUGGCAGCUCCACUUCCAGGGAUUCAUCUUUCUGCAAGCACAGCACCAUCUUCAGGCACAUCCUCCAGGGAUUUUCUUUUCCUUUCUUUCGGACCAAAUGGGCCCUAUGGUGGCUUGCAAUCUUUAAAAAUGUAUCAGUAAAAAAUAAAAUGCAGAACUUGUUACACAUUUUUUUAAAUGUUAAAUUGGAGCUAACUAAAAUAAAUUCAGUGGAGGGGAGGAAAACACUCAAGGCUUGGUGAAAUAAACAUGUUUUUACAGUUU